RNAcentral lists this ribosomal RNA (625 nucleotides) under uncultured bacterium. RNAcentral's name for it is "bacterial SSU rRNA". It matches the Rfam family "Bacterial small subunit ribosomal RNA", at positions 338 to 956 of the family's 1533-position model. The record is from RNAcentral.
CCUACGGGAGGCAGCAGGGGGGAAUCUUGCGCAAUGGGCGGAAGCCUGACGCAGCAACGCCGCGUGCGGGAAGAAGGCCUUAGGGUCGUAAACCGCUUUCAGGGGGGACGAAGCUUCCGGGGUUAAUAGCCUACGGGGUGACGGUACUCCCAAAAGAAGGUCCGGCUAACUACGUGCCAGCAGCCGCGGUAAUACGUAGGGACCGAGCGUUGUCCGGAAUCAUUGGGCGUAAAGAGCGUGUAGGCGGCCUAGUAGGUCUCGUGUGAAAUCCCGUGGCUCAACCACGGACACGCACGGGAAACCCCUAGGCUCGAGUCCGGAAGAGGAGAGCGGAAUUCCUGGUGUAGCGGUGAAAUGCGCAGAUAUCAGGAAGAACACCCGUAGCGAAGGCGGCUCUCUGGGACGGUACUGACGCUGAGACGCGAAAGCGUGGGGAGCAAACAGGAUUAGAUACCCUGGUAGUCCACGCCGUAAACGAUGGAUGCUAGGUGUGGGAGGUGUCGACUCCUCCCGUGCCGAAGCUAACGCAUUAAGCAUCCCGCCUGGGGAGUACGGCCGCAAGGCUAAAACUCAAAAGAUAGUACGGACGCGAGACGAGUCGACGACGACGACACGGAAGGUAGAG